This 610-nucleotide small RNA is filed under the name Arabidopsis thaliana (thale cress). Its description in RNAcentral is "ATSL285290". Lineage: Eukaryota; Viridiplantae; Streptophyta; Magnoliopsida; Brassicales; Brassicaceae. The record is from RNAcentral.
UUCCCUCAUUUAAUUUAAUUAUGGGAAGGUCUAACUUUGGAUAACAUUUUUGCAUUAAACUAGAUUUUAACCCGCGGUGUACCGCGGGGACAAUUUGUUUUUUAAAAUUAGUAUAUAUAAAAACUUGUAAACUAUAUCUAUCUAUAAAAUAUUUUUAUUUUAUAGUUUACAACUGUUAUUAAGUAACGUCCUGCCAAACCCGUCCCGCAAAACCCAUCCUGCAAAAAAAAACAUUUAUUUUAUUAAUGUUGAUCUUAUUUAUGAAUCAUUGUCUAAAUAUUUUAGUCGAUGCGGGAUGUUGAACCCACACAUUUUUCGCCAAUCGGUUAAUAUAUGUUCAUUUUUAAAAUUUUGAAUCACAAAAUAUGACGGAAUUUUUUUUGAGAUUUUUUAAACUAUAUAUUAUAUAAUGAUGUUAAAUUUUUUGAUAUAUUAAACUUUUUAUAAGUUUAAAUAUUAAUAAUGUUUUAUAAAGUUUAAAUAUAUAAAUAAUAAUAUUUUAAAAUAUAUAUAUUUUUUGCCUUUUAGGUAAUGACAUAAUAACUCUAAAAGUAAAGAUUUAGAAGAUUUAAAUCGUUAAUUAAAUAUUUUCAUUUCUAAAUAAUUAAUG